This 534-nucleotide ribosomal RNA is filed under the name Asticcacaulis sp. Its description in RNAcentral is "bacterial SSU rRNA". It matches the Rfam family "Bacterial small subunit ribosomal RNA", at positions 157 to 725 of the family's 1533-position model. Lineage: Bacteria; Pseudomonadati; Pseudomonadota; Alphaproteobacteria; Caulobacterales; Caulobacteraceae. The record is from RNAcentral.
CUUCAGCUAAUACCGGAUGAGCCCUUAGGGGGAAAGAUUUAUCGCCGAAAGAGCGGCCCGCGUUAGAUUAGCUAGUUGGUGGGGUAAAGGCCCACCAAGGCGACGAUCUAUAGCUGGUCUGAGAGGAUGAUCAGCCACAUUGGGACUGAGACACGGCCCAAACUCCUACGGGAGGCAGCAGUGGGGAAUCUUGCGCAAUGGGCGGAAGCCUGACGCAGCCAUGCCGCGUGAAUGAUGAAGGUCUUAGGAUUGUAAAAUUCUUUCAGCAGGGACGAUAAUGACGGUACCUGCAGAAGAAGCCCCGGCUAACUUCGUGCCAGCAGCCGCGGUAAUACGAAGGGGGCUAGCGUUGCUCGGAAUUACUGGGCGUAAAGGGAGCGUAGGCGGGUUAUCAAGUUGGAGGUGAAAGCCCAGGGCUCAACCUUGGAAUUGCCUUCAAAACUGAUAGCCUAGAGUAUGAUAGAGGUAAGUGGAACUCCGAGUGUAGAGGUGAAAUUCGUAGAUAUUCGGAAGAACACCAGUGGCGAAGGCGAC